CUCUUUGCCAGUUGUGGGCAGUGUUUGGUCCCUGGCCUGCAUGUGAUGGCGUUGCUUAGCUCACUGCGGUGGAUCCUUUGUGGUGUCUGCUCUUGGGCUGGAGAAGUGAAAUGGCGUCACCAACUACUUCCUCCCUGGUAUCAGAACUCUGUGCUCUUGAAGACUGGCAAUCAAGCACCCCUCCUUUGUCUCCAACUUCCGUCCAUUUCCUGCUACCAAACUGUAUCUGACCAAGCUAUCAGCCUGCCAGGUGGCACCUUCUUCCCGUGUUUUAUCUCACAUGGGGUUGUGUUUCCAAACCCCUCUCUUCUGAGGGCUCUGCAGCUUUGACCCACUCAGACCCUCCUGGGGGAGGGUCUCGCUGAGCAGUGGCUGGGUGCUUGUCUGCCCCCAGGAAUUUUCCUGUGACUCUGCUGCUGUGGAUGCCCGGAGACUGCAGGAAAAAGACAUUGAAGAUUAAAUUUCAAGAGAUUUCACCUCUACUUUCAAGUUACACUGCUGCCAGACGACAGAUCACUGGCCCAUUUGGCUUAUAAAAGAUUUGCUCCUACUGUACUUUGCUCUACUGCAUUGAGAUCUUUUAUUAACAUCUAACUACAGCAGCCUUAUGUCUCUGGACUGCAAAUAAGAAUUACUCUGGGAGAGGUCUGGAAUUUGUUCCAUUAUAUACUGGAGUGGGGCCAACAGCUGACGACUUGAUUUUGAGUCUAGUGACAGAUUUAGUAUCUGUUUGCUCAAGAAACCAAGACAUUUGAAAUAUGUGCAAAGCCUGUACUAUUCCGUGAGAGCUGAGAUAUUAUUAUAACCUGAAACUUUAGUCAUCAUCUUCUAAGUUUGAAAACAAUUGGUGGUAUUGAAUGGGAACAUUAUGUGAGAGCUCACAUGCAUCUAAAAAGAAAAUGAAAUAAAAAUAUUGGUUUUUUUUUCCUCA
Herpailurus yagouaroundi (jaguarundi) is the source of this 931-nucleotide long non-coding RNA. RefSeq lists it as uncharacterized. The record is from RefSeq and is a predicted model, not a curated record. The transcript is spliced from 4 exons. NCBI's taxonomy places the organism in Eukaryota, Metazoa, Chordata, Mammalia, Carnivora, Felidae.